GAUCCUCACGGUCCUAAUGCCCUUCAGCCCGAGGCGCGCGCCUGCCGCGGGCGCCCAUUCAUUCGCGCGCAGAGCCCGCCCCCCGCUCCAGCCCCGGCCGGCUGCGGGGCCGCUGCGCCUCGGGAGAGGAGCGUAGCGGGUGCAAAGCGGCGCCAGAGAAAGGCCCGACGAGGCAGACGCCCGCGGUGGAAUGGCGACGGGCCAGAGCCAGUCUCGGCUCCAAUGGCUCGGCGACCGAGCUCCUGGCGGCUGCCCGCGCGCGGCCCUGGUCUGUCCCGCCUACCUCCACCCACCCCCGGACCGAGCGGCCCUGAGUCACCGGUUGGAGAUGCGCGACCCCGGCCCGGGCCCGCGCUGCGUAGCUGCCUUUCUGGACUGCGCUCUGAACUGCGCUCUGGAACAGGGUUUAAGUAAAAGAAGGGUUGCCGAGAGAUGACCUCCAAGGUCCCUCCAGCUGUGCCAUUUUGGACUUCCAGUUGUCUCCCUUGUCACAGUGCUCUCAGGCACGGUCCCCUUCUCUUUAAAGCUGCUGAAGCCAGCACUCAGGUACAGAAAGGAGUCCAGAAAAGAGUCCAGAAAAGUCAAGUGAUUGGUCCAAAGACACACAGCUGAUGACCACAACCAGAACCCAGGUCAUCAACCCACUCCUCUGAUCCUCCAACACACUAUACAACUGAGUUUAGGACAAAGCAAAAUAUGAAGUCCAUAGACUACACUCCCAUCACCCCCACCAACCAAA
Molecule: long non-coding RNA, 739 nt
Organism: Mesoplodon densirostris (Blainville's beaked whale)
Lineage: Eukaryota; Metazoa; Chordata; Mammalia; Artiodactyla; Ziphiidae
Exons: 3
Source: RefSeq, a predicted model, not a curated record